UGUGUACGUAUGCUACACGCAAUCGUAGUGCUUCACUAAGCCACAGUGCACUACAAAGUUAAGCAUGAGCGGUACACAAAAUUCACAAGUUCUUAGUAUUGCCAAGAACAACCAUUGCUUGGUGAAGUUCUCACAGGCGUUGUAGAAGUUGUUGGGCGCGGCAGUGCUGAACGUAGCGUUAGCGGCUUAAAUCGUGUUUUUUACUAGUAACAACGUGUCGCUAUUUCAUAUUAUUGGCGGCGUCUCCAGGACACCAAAUCGGUAACGGGGACACCAGAGCUAGAACGCGGACUGGUCCAUGGGUUGGGGCUCGCCGAGGCCUGCGCGUGCUAGUAGUAUAUCUUGAUGUCUGUAGGCUGUGUGUAAGUCGUACUUUCCGAAUUUUCUGACGCAUUUUAAGAUCAGCUGUCCGCUUUCACGGACAAGGCUGGAGUCAGGGUGGUCCGUGAGUUGGGGCAACAUAACCUGCUUCCAGUUUUGAUCCCUCCGCUGCGCCUUGGGUACCCUGCCGCCUCCUUGAUUAUAAUCUAAUGCUCUCCUGAGGCCUCUGUUUGCCGGUUACAUGUGCCCUUCUGGAGCACUACUUGUAAACGAAUCCGAUCUAUCGUCGCAACAAAAAAAGCGCCCCGCGACUUCUGCAACACCAGUCAGAACCUUGCCCAUUGGUUUACAUAUGUGUGGCCGCAAAUAUCUGAAACUUAAUGCCAGUUCAACAGGUUUGUUGGCAAGGGUGUCCGGUCGUUGCUUUGUGUUGAAUCGGCGUUUUCUCAAUUCUUAAGAAUUUAAUUGGAAUGCACCUGACCAAUGCUGCUUUGUGGUGCUUGCCACCAGUCCCUUGGACAGGGAAGACAUAUGAGAAUCCCUGUGCAUACACUUUAUACGCAGUGGUGUGACCGCUUCCUUUGGGAAACUACCACGUUAGCGAUAUUGUGAGCGCAAUGUGACUUUCCUUCAUCUUCCUCAUCCGUACGUAGUGUGUGUCGCUUCUUCCUCGUCAUAGCUCUAGCUCGGCAAGAAUAAAGCGGUUCCUUAGAAGUGGUGGAGGUGCUGGGGUUCUGCAUACCAAGGACGUAUAAGGUCACAAAGCUGCACCCAGGUAGAGGCAGAAUCCAAAAAUGCUUGUGUACUUCAACUAUAGCUGCACAUUACAGAAUCCGAGGCCCUCAAGAUUUAUCCGUAGCCCUCGUGUAGCCCACGAGUUCCAUAUUUUUUAUUGGGAUUGAAGAGUAACGUUUGUGCUGUAUCCCUCUAUUUCAGACUAAAUAAUGUGCAUGCAAAAUUAUAUCUUCAUUACUUUACACCAUUGCACCAAUAUCUGUUGUGCGUUGAUUUUCUGAUGUCCUUGCAUUUGCUAUAGCAAGGAUUUUUAAAAAUCAGCCACAAAAGAAAAAAUAAAUGGUCAAGGAACGAAGUGGUGUGUAGCAGCUCCCUUUUUUUUAAUCGGCGGCAAGUUUCGCACUCGUGUGUUAGCAACACUGUUUCGCCAGUUGUGUACUUCAAAAGAAGUGUUACCUUUCUGCUUUGGAACUUUGUGGUUUUGUUCUGCCAGCUGCUUGACCAACACAAGCAAAAUGUACUUUGGAUAUUCCACAAAUUCAUUCUGUAUGCAUUUGGUACAAUAAAAUUUGUUUCAAGAAUGGACAAA
Non-coding RNA from Dermacentor andersoni, 1645 nucleotides. Lineage: Eukaryota; Metazoa; Arthropoda; Arachnida; Ixodida; Ixodidae. The record is from RefSeq and is a predicted model, not a curated record.